UAGGGAAUCUUCCGCAAUGGGCGAAAGCCUGACGGAGCAACGCCGCGUGAGUGAUGAAGGUCUUCGGAUCGUAAAACUCUGUUAUUAGGGAAGAACAAAGGUGUAAGGAACUAUGCACGUAUUGACGGGACCUAAGCAGAAAGCCACGGCGAACUACGUGCCAGCAGCCGCGGUAAUACGUAGGGGGCAAGCGUUAUCGGGAAUUAUGGGGCGUAAAGCGCGCGUAGGCGGUUUUUUAAGUGUGAUGUGAAAGCCGACGGCGCAACCGUGGAGGGUCAUUGGAAACUGGAAAAGUUGAGUGCAGAAGAGGAAAGUGGAAUUCCAUGUGUAGCGGUGAAAUGCGCAGAGAUAUGGAGGAACAACAGUGGCGAAGGCGACUUUCUGGUCUGUAACUGACGCUGAUGUGCGAAAGCGUGGGGAGCAAACAGG
This 429-nucleotide ribosomal RNA is filed under the name Actinomycetes bacterium. RNAcentral describes it as "Actinobacteria bacterium partial 16S ribosomal RNA". It matches the Rfam family "Bacterial small subunit ribosomal RNA", at positions 355 to 776 of the family's 1533-position model. The record is from RNAcentral. Lineage: Bacteria; Bacillati; Actinomycetota; Actinomycetes.